GACGAGUGGCGGACGGGUGAGUAAUGUCUGGGAAACUGCCUGAUGGAGGGGGAUAACUACUGGAAACGGUAGCUAAUACCGCAUAACGUCGCAAGACCAAAGAGGGGGACCUUCGGGCCUCUUGCCAUCGGAUGUGCCCAGAUGGGAUUAGCUAGUAGGUGGGGUAAAGGCUCACCUAGGCGACGAUCCCUAGCUGGUCUGAGAGGAUGACCAGCCACACUGGAACUGAGACACGGUCCAGACUCCUACGGGAGGCAGCAGUGGGGAAUAUUGCACAAUGGGCGCAAGCCUGAUGCAGCCAUGCCGCGUGUAUGAAGAAGGCCUUCGGGUUGUAAAGUACUUUCAGCGGGGAGGAAGGGAGUAAAGUUAAUACCUUUGCUCAUUGACGUUACCCGCAGAAGAAGCACCGGCUAACUCCGUGCCAGCAGCCGCGGUAAUACGGAGGGUGCAAGCGUUAAUCGGAAUUACUGGGCGUAAAGCGCACGCAGGCGGUUUGUUAAGUCAGAUGUGAAAUCCCCGGGCUCAACCUGGGAACUGCAUCUGAUACUGGCAAGCUUGAGUCUCGUAGAGGGGGGUAGAAUUCCAGGUGUAGCGGUGAAAUGCGUAGAGAUCUGGAGGAAUACCG
RNAcentral lists this ribosomal RNA (625 nucleotides) under uncultured Pseudomonadota bacterium. Its description in RNAcentral is "bacterial SSU rRNA". It matches the Rfam family "Bacterial small subunit ribosomal RNA", at positions 90 to 711 of the family's 1533-position model. Lineage: Bacteria; Pseudomonadati; Pseudomonadota. The record is from RNAcentral.